This 253-nucleotide ribosomal RNA is filed under the name uncultured bacterium. RNAcentral's name for it is "partial 16S ribosomal RNA". It matches the Rfam family "Bacterial small subunit ribosomal RNA", at positions 524 to 776 of the family's 1533-position model. The record is from RNAcentral.
UACAGGGGGUGCGAGCGUUGCUCGGAAUUACUGGGCGUAAAGCGUACGCAGGCUGUCUUGCAAGUCGGGUGUGAAAGCCCGGGGCUCAACCCCGGAAAUGCGCCCGAGACUGCCGGACUUGAAUGCGGGAGAGGAAAGCGGAAUUCCUGGUGUAGAGGUGAAAUUCGUAGAUAUCAGGAGGAACACCUGUGGCGAAAGCGGCUUUCUGGCCCGACAUUGACGCUCAUGUACGAAAGCGCGGGGAGCAAACAGG